UUACAUAUACUUUUAAUUUGAGUUUUGCUUAGUUGCUUUCGUUUACCUCAUGACAGGUGAUGCUGAGACGGUUUUGUCCUCGUAAGACUACUCUACUGUUUGUUAUACGAGAUAAAACAAGGUCACAAUUGAAUGAGGCUAUUUUAAGAGAGGAUUAUGGAGAAGCUGCAAAGCUGAAGUUGGCCAUAACUGGUGCUAC
Long non-coding RNA from Zingiber officinale, 199 nucleotides. RefSeq lists it as uncharacterized. The transcript is spliced from 2 exons. The record is from RefSeq and is a predicted model, not a curated record. NCBI's taxonomy places the organism in Eukaryota, Viridiplantae, Streptophyta, Magnoliopsida, Zingiberales, Zingiberaceae.